RNAcentral lists this ribosomal RNA (722 nucleotides) under uncultured organism. RNAcentral's name for it is "bacterial SSU rRNA". It matches the Rfam family "Bacterial small subunit ribosomal RNA", at positions 26 to 758 of the family's 1533-position model. The record is from RNAcentral.
AGGAUGAACGCUGGCGGCGUGCUAAUACAUGCAAGUCGAACGAGAAGGCGUGUACUCGUAUACGCUGGAGAGUGGCGCACGGGUGAGUAACACAUGGCUGACCUGCCCUUCAGAGGGGGACAACCGCUGGAAACGGUGGCUAAUACCCCGUACGCUCAGAGAGGUUAGAGGCUCUUUGAGGAAAGCCGAGGCGCUGAAGGAGGGAGCUGUGGCCCAUCAGCUAGUUGGUAGGGUAACGGCCUACCAAGGCGAUGACGGGUAGGGGGCCUGAGAGGGUGACCCCCCACACUGGGACUGAGACACGGCCCAGACUCCUACGGGAGGCAGCAGUAAGGGAUAUUGCGACAAUGGGCGAAAGCCUGACGCAGCAACGCCGCGUGCGGGAUGAAGGCCUUCGGGUUGUAAACCGCUUUUCUGUGGGAAGAGGAAGGACGGUACCACAGGAAUAAGUCUCGGCUAACUACGUGCCAGCAGCCGCGGUAAAACGUAGGAGGCGAGCGUUAUCCGGAUUUACUGGGUGUAAAGCGCGUGCAGGCGGGGUCGUAAGUCGUGCGUGAAAGCUCCCGGCUCAACCGGGAGAGGACGUACCGAAACUGCGGUUCUGGAGGCAGGUAGAGGCGUGUGGAAUUCCGGGUGUAGUGGUGAAAAUGCGUAGAAUAUCCGGAGGAAACACCAGUGGCGAAGGCGACACGCUGGGCCUGACCUGACGCUAAGACGCGAAA